Long non-coding RNA from Thalassophryne amazonica, 101 nucleotides. RefSeq lists it as uncharacterized. The transcript has 4 exons. Lineage: Eukaryota; Metazoa; Chordata; Actinopteri; Batrachoidiformes; Batrachoididae. The record is from RefSeq and is a predicted model, not a curated record.
AGUUUUGGUGCUGGUUUAGAGCCAGUGUCAAAUUUUGAAGCAGUUCUUUAUGUUUCCACAGACAAAGAAUUGGUUCUGAUGACAGACACUGGUACCAAAUA